UUACCCUACUGAUGCCCGCGUCG
RNAcentral lists this non-coding RNA (23 nucleotides) under Arabidopsis thaliana (thale cress). Lineage: Eukaryota; Viridiplantae; Streptophyta; Magnoliopsida; Brassicales; Brassicaceae. The record is from RNAcentral.